Molecule: unclassified non-coding RNA, 211 nt
Filed under: uncultured fungus
Lineage: Eukaryota; Fungi
Description: sequence contains ITS1
Source: RNAcentral
UUAACUUAUUUGUGUUUUACUCAGAGAUGCCACUAUAAUACAUAAGAGUUUCUGACCUCCGGCGGGCGCCCCGCACCUCCGGGGAGGCGCGGCGCCGCGGAACCCCCGGGGGGGUAGCCGCACCGCCGAAGCAACUUGGACGAGUUCGCGAUGGUUUGAAGUAGCCUUUCGGCUUCUUGUAAUGAUCCCUCCGCUGGUUCACCAACGGAGA